UACGUAGGGUGCAAGCGUUGUCCGGAAUUAUUGGGCGUAAAGAGCUCGUAGGCGGUUUGUCGCGUCGAAUGUGAAAACCCGGGGCUCAACCCCGGGCCUGCAUUCGAUACGGGCAGACUAGAGUUCGGUAGGGGAGUCUGGAAUUCCUGGUGUAGCGGUGAAAUGCGCAGAUAUCAGGAGGAACACCGGUGGCGAAGGCGGGUCUCUGGGCCGAUACUGACGCUGAGGAGCGAAAGCCAGGGGAGCAAACGGG
RNAcentral lists this ribosomal RNA (253 nucleotides) under uncultured bacterium. Its description in RNAcentral is "partial 16S ribosomal RNA". It matches the Rfam family "Bacterial small subunit ribosomal RNA", at positions 524 to 776 of the family's 1533-position model. The record is from RNAcentral.